GUUAAGCGACUAAGCGUACACGGUGGAUGCCCUGGCAGUCAGAGGCGAUGAAGGACGUGCUAAUCUGCGAUAAGCGUCGGUAAGGUGAUAUGAACCGUUAUAACCGGCGAUUUCCGAAUGGGGAAACCCAGUGUGUUUCGACACACUAUCAUUAACUGAAUCCAUAGGUUAAUGAGGCGAACCGGGGGAACUGAAACAUCUAAGUACCCCGAGGAAAAGAAAUCAACCGAGAUUCCCCCAGUAGCGGCGAGCGAACGGGGAGCAGCCCAGAGCCUGAAUCAGUGUGUGUGUUAGUGGAAGCGUCUGGAAAGGCGCGCGAUACAGGGUGACAGCCCCGUACACAAAAAUGCACAUGCUGUGAGCUCGAUGAGUAGGGCGGGACACGUGGUAUCCUGUCUGAAUAUGGGGGGACCAUCCUCCAAGGCUAAAUACUCCUGACUGACCGAUAGUGAACCAGUACCGUGAGGGAAAGGCGAAAAGAACCCCGGCGAGGGGAGUGAAAAAGAACCUGAAACCGUGUACGUACAAGCAGUGGGAGCACGCUUAGGCGUGUGACUGCGUACCUUUUGUAUAAUGGGUCAGCGACUUAUAUUCUGUAGCAAGGUUAACCGAAUAGGGGAGCCGAAGGGAAACCGAGUCUUAACUGGGCGUUAAGUUGCAGGGUAUAGACCCGAAACCCGGUGAUCUAGCCAUGGGCAGGUUGAAGGUUGGGUAACACUAACUGGAGGACCGAACCGACUAAUGUUGAAAAAUUAGCGGAUGACUUGUGGCUGGGGGUGAAAGGCCAAUCAAACCGGGAGAUAGCUGGUUCUCCCCGAAAGCUAUUUAGGUAGCGCCUCGUGAAUUCAUCUCCGGGGGUAGAGCACUGUUUCGGCAAGGGGGUCAUCCCGACUUACCAACCCGAUGCAAACUGCGAAUACCGGAGAAUGUUAUCACGGGAGACACACGGCGGGUGCUAACGUCCGUCGUGAAGAGGGAAACAACCCAGACCGCCAGCUAAGGUCCCAAAGUCAUGGUUAAGUGGGAAACGAUGUGGGAAGGCCCAGACAGCCAGGAUGUUGGCUUAGAAGCAGCCAUCAUUUAAAGAAAGCGUAAUAGCUCACUGGUCGAGUCGGCCUGCGCGGAAGAUGUAACGGGGCUAAACCAUGCACCGAAGCUGCGGCAGCGACGCUGAUGCGUUGUUGGGUAGGGGAGCGUUCUGUAAGCCUGCGAAGGUGUGCUGUGAGGCAUGCUGGAGGUAUCAGAAGUGCGAAUGCUGACAUAAGUAACGAUAAAGCGGGUGAAAAGCCCGCUCGCCGGAAGACCAAGGGUUCCUGUCCAACGUUAAUCGGGGCAGGGUGAGUCGACCCCUAAGGCGAGGCCGAAAGGCGUAGUCGAUGGGAAACAGGUUAAUAUUCCUGUACUUGGUGUUACUGCGAAGGGGGGACGGAGAAGGCUAUGUUGGCCGGGCGACGGUUGUCCCGGUUUAAGCGUGUAGGCUGGUUUUCCAGGCAAAUCCGGAAAAUCAAGGCUGAGGCGUGAUGACGAGGCACUACGGUGCUGAAGCAACAAAUGCCCUGCUUCCAGGAAAAGCCUCUAAGCAUCAGGUAACAUCAAAUCGUACCCCAAACCGACACAGGUGGUCAGGUAGAGAAUACCAAGGCGCUUGAGAGAACUCGGGUGAAGGAACUAGGCAAAAUGGUGCCGUAACUUCGGGAGAAGGCACGCUGAUAUGUAGGUGAAGUCCCUUGCGGAUGGAGCUGAAAUCAGUCGAAGAUACCAGCUGGCUGCAACUGUUUAUUAAAAACACAGCACUGUGCAAACACGAAAGUGGACGUAUACGGUGUGACGCCUGCCCGGUGCCGGAAGGUUAAUUGAUGGGGUCAGCGCAAGCGAAGCUCUUGAUCGAAGCCCCGGUAAACGGCGGCCGUAACUAUAACGGUCCUAAGGUAGCGAAAUUCCUUGUCGGGUAAGUUCCGACCUGCACGAAUGGCGUAAUGAUGGCCAGGCUGUCUCCACCCGAGACUCAGUGAAAUUGAACUCGCUGUGAAGAUGCAGUGUACCCGCGGCAAGACGGAAAGACCCCGUGAACCUUUACUAUAGCUUGACACUGAACAUUGAGCCUUGAUGUGUAGGAUAGGUGGGAGGCUUUGAAGUGUGGACGCCAGUCUGCAUGGAGCCGACCUUGAAAUACCACCCUUUAAUGUUUGAUGUUCUAACGUGGACCCGUGAUCCGGGUUGCGGACAGUGUCUGGUGGGUAGUUUGACUGGGGCGGUCUCCUCCUAAAGAGUAACGGAGGAGCACGAAGGUUGGCUAAUCCUGGUCGGACAUCAGGAGGUUAGUGCAAUGGCAUAAGCCAGCUUGACUGCGAGCGUGACGGCGCGAGCAGGUGCGAAAGCAGGUCAUAGUGAUCCGGUGGUUCUGAAUGGAAGGGCCAUCGCUCAACGGAUAAAAGGUACUCCGGGGAUAACAGGCUGAUACCGCCCAAGAGUUCAUAUCGACGGCGGUGUUUGGCACCUCGAUGUCGGCUCAUCACAUCCUGGGGCUGAAGUAGGUCCCAAGGGUAUGGCUGUUCGCCAUUUAAAGUGGUACGCGAGCUGGGUUUAGAACGUCGUGAGACAGUUCGGUCCCUAUCUGCCGUGGGCGCUGGAGAACUGAGGGGGGCUGCUCCUAGUACGAGAGGACCGGAGUGGACGCAUCACUGGUGUUCGGGUUGUCAUGCCAAUGGCACUGCCCGGUAGCUAAAUGCGGAAGAGAUAAGUGCUGAAAGCAUCUAAGCACGAAACUUGCCCCGAGAUGAGUUCUCCCUGACUCCUUGAGAGUCCUGAAGGAACGUUGAAGACGACGACGUUGAUAGGCCGGGUGUGUAAGCGCAGCGAUGCGUUGAGCUAACCGGUACUAAUGAACCGUGAGGCUUAACCUUACAACGCCGAAGCUGUU
This 2920-nucleotide ribosomal RNA is filed under the name Escherichia coli. Its description in RNAcentral is "partial 23S ribosomal RNA". It matches the Rfam family "Bacterial large subunit ribosomal RNA". The record is from RNAcentral. Lineage: Bacteria; Pseudomonadati; Pseudomonadota; Gammaproteobacteria; Enterobacterales; Enterobacteriaceae.